Molecule: ribosomal RNA, 497 nt
Filed under: uncultured bacterium
Lineage: Bacteria
Description: partial 16S ribosomal RNA
Rfam family: Bacterial small subunit ribosomal RNA
Source: RNAcentral
GAUGAACGCUGGCGGGGUGCCUAAUACAUGCAAGUCGAGCGAACGGACGAGAAGCUUGCUUCUCUGAUGUUAGCGGCGGACGGGUGAGUAACACGUGGAUAACCUACCUAUAAGACUGGGAUAACUUCGGGAAACCGGAGCUAAUACCGGAUGAUAUUUUGAACCGCAUGGUUCAAAAGUGAAAGACGGUCUUGCUGUCACUUAUAGAUGGAUCCGCGCUGCAUUAGCUAGUUGGUAAGGUAACGGCUUACCAAGGCAACGAUGCUUAGCCGACCUGAGAGGGUGAUCGGCCACACUGGAACUGAGACACGGUCCAGACUCCUACGAGAAGCAGCAGUAGGGAAUCUUCCGCAAUGGGCGAAAGCCUGACGGAGCAACGCCGCGUGAGUGAUGAAGGUCUUCGGAUCGUAAAACUCUGUUAUUAGGGAAGAACAUAUGUGUAAGUAACUGUGCACAUCUUGACGGUACCUAAUCAGAAAGCCACGGCUAACUACGUG